RNAcentral lists this ribosomal RNA (1381 nucleotides) under Streptomyces atratus. Its description in RNAcentral is "bacterial SSU rRNA". It matches the Rfam family "Bacterial small subunit ribosomal RNA". Lineage: Bacteria; Bacillati; Actinomycetota; Actinomycetes; Kitasatosporales; Streptomycetaceae. The record is from RNAcentral.
GCAGUCGAACGAUGAAGCCUUUCGGGGUGGAUUAGUGGCGAACGGGUGAGUAACACGUGGGCAAUCUGCCCUUCACUCUGGGACAAGCCCUGGAAACGGGGUCUAAUACCGGAUAACACUCUGUCCCGCAUGGGACGGGGUUAAAAGCUCCGGCGGUGAAGGAUGAGCCCGCGGCCUAUCAGCUUGUUGGUGGGGUGAUGGCCUACCAAGGCGACGACGGGUAGCCGGCCUGAGAGGGCGACCGGCCACACUGGGACUGAGACACGGCCCAGACUCCUACGGGAGGCAGCAGUGGGGAAUAUUGCACAAUGGGCGAAAGCCUGAUGCAGCGACGCCGCGUGAGGGAUGACGGCCCUUCGGGUUGUAAACCUUCUUUCAGCAGGGAAGAAGCGAGAGUGACGGUACCUGCAGAAGAAGCGCCGGCUAACUACGUGCCAGCAGCCGCGGUAAUACGUAGGGCGCAAGCGUUGUCCGGAAUUAUUGGGCGUAAAGAGCUCGUAGGCGGCUUGUUGCGUCGGUUGUGAAAGCCCGGGGCUUAACCCCGGGUCUGCAGUCGAUACGGGCAGGCUAGAGUGUGGUAGGGGAGAUCGGAAUUCCUGGUGUAGCGGUGAAAUGCGCAGAUAUCAGGGAGGAACACCGGUGGCGAAGGCGGAUCUCUGGGCCAUUACUGACGCUGAGGAGCGAAAGCGUGGGGAGCGAACAGGAUUAGAUACCCUGGUAGUCCACGCCGUAAACGUUGGGAACUAGGUGUUGGCGACAUUCCACGUCGUCGGUGCCGCAGCUAACGCAUUAAGUUCCCCGCCUGGGGAGUACGGCCGCAAGGCUAAAACUCAAAGGAAUUGACGGGGGCCCGCACAAGCAGCGGAGCAUGUGGCUUAAUUCGACGCAACGCGAAGAACCUUACCAAGGCUUGACAUAUACCGGAAAGCAUCAGAGAUGGUGCCCCCCUUGUGGUCGGUAUACAGGUGGUGCAUGGCUGUCGUCAGCUCGUGUCKUGAGAUGUUGGGUUAAGUCCCGCAACGAGCGCAACCCUUGUUCUGUGUUGCCAGCAUGCCCUUCGGGGUGAUGGGGACUCACAGGAGACUGCCGGGGUCAACUCGGAGGAAGGUGGGGACGACGUCAAGUCAUCAUGCCCCUUAUGUCUUGGGCUGCACACGUGCUACAAUGGCCGGUACAAUGAGCUGCGAUGCCGCGAGGCGGAGCGAAUCUCAAAAAGCCGGUCUCAGUUCGGAUUGGGGUCUGCAACUCGACCCCAUGAAGUCGGAGUUGCUAGUAAUCGCAGAUCAGCAUUGCUGCGGUGAAUACGUUCCCGGGCCUUGUACACACCGCCCGUCACGUCACGAAAGUCGGUAACACCCGAAGCCGGUGGCCCAACCCCUUG